GAAAUGACUCUCGGCAACGGAUAUCUCGGCUCUCGCAUCGAUGAAGAACGUAGCAAAAUGCGAUACCUGGUGUGAAUUGCAGAAUCCCGUGAACCAUUGAGUUUUUGAACGCAAGUUGCGCCCGAGGUCUUCUGGCCGAGGGCACGCCUGCCUGGGCGUCACGCC
This 165-nucleotide ribosomal RNA is filed under the name Zeugites americanus var. pringlei. RNAcentral's name for it is "5.8S ribosomal RNA". It matches the Rfam family "5.8S ribosomal RNA". From Rfam's summary of the family: 5.8S ribosomal RNA (5.8S rRNA) is a component of the large subunit of the eukaryotic ribosome. The record is from RNAcentral. Lineage: Eukaryota; Viridiplantae; Streptophyta; Magnoliopsida; Poales; Poaceae.